Molecule: ribosomal RNA, 397 nt
Filed under: uncultured bacterium
Lineage: Bacteria
Description: partial 16S ribosomal RNA
Rfam family: Bacterial small subunit ribosomal RNA
Source: RNAcentral
AUACGUAGGUGGCAAGCGUUAUCCGGAUUUACUGGGUGUAAAGGGCGAGUAGGCGGGCUUGCAAGUCAGAUGUGAAAUACCGGGGCUCAACCCCGGGGCUGCAUUUGAAACUGUAGGUCUUGAGUGAUGGAGAGGCAGGCGGAAUUCCCGGUGGAGCGGUGGAAUGCGUAGAUAUCGGGAGGAACACCAGGGGCGAAGGCGGCCUGCUUGACAUUAACUGACGCUGAGGAGCGAAAGCGUGGGGAGCAAACAGGAUUAGAUACCCUGGUAGUCCACGCUGUAAACGAUGGAUACUAGGUGUAGGGGGUACUGACCCCCUCCGUGCCGGAGUUAACACAAUAAGUAUCCCACCUGGGGAGUACGGCCGCAAGGUUGAAACUCAAAUGAAUUGACGGUG